CCCGAGUUGUAAUUUGUAGAGGAUGUCUUCAGCAAAAGACUUUAGGCCUAAGUUCCCUGGNACGGGAUAUCAUGGAGGGUGAGAAUCCCGUAUAUGGUUUAUUGUCUCUUGCACCAUGAAGCUCCUUCAACGAGUCGAGUUGUUUGGGAAUGCAGCUCAAAACAGGAGGUAAAUUCCUUCCAAAGCUAAAUAUUAGCCAGAGACCGAUAGCGAACAAGUAGAGUGAUCGAAAGAUGAAAAGCACUUUGGAAAGAGAGUUAAAAAGUAUGUGAAAUUGUUGAAAGGGAAGCGCUUGCAACCAGACUUUUCNCUGUAGGUUAGAUCAUCUAGGCUCUUUGGCCUAGUGUACUCUACCUAUAUUGUGUGCCAGCAUCGGUUUGUUAGUCGAGAGAAAAAGGUAGUGUGUUGUCAAUUCCUUCGGGUUUUUGGCAUGCAUCUACAGGUACAUCUUGAACCCAGACCGAGGACAGCGCUUUUUGCACGGAUGCUGGUGUAAUGGUUGUAAGCGGCCCGUCUUGAAACACGGACCAAGGAGUCCAACAUCCAUGCGAGUGUUUGGAUGUCAAGUCCGUACGCGCAAUGAAAGUGAACGCAAAUGGGAACUCAUGUGUGCACCAUUGACCGAUCUUGAUCUUUUGAAAUGGAUUUGAGUAAGAGCAUGGCUGUUGGGACCCGAAAGAUGGUGAACUAUGCCCUGCGUAGGCUGAAGCCAGGGGAAAC
Molecule: ribosomal RNA, 720 nt
Filed under: Hesperomyces virescens
Lineage: Eukaryota; Fungi; Ascomycota; Laboulbeniomycetes; Laboulbeniales; Laboulbeniaceae
Description: partial large subunit ribosomal RNA
Rfam family: Eukaryotic large subunit ribosomal RNA
Source: RNAcentral